This 496-nucleotide ribosomal RNA is filed under the name uncultured bacterium. Its description in RNAcentral is "partial 16S ribosomal RNA". It matches the Rfam family "Bacterial small subunit ribosomal RNA", at positions 28 to 507 of the family's 1533-position model. The record is from RNAcentral.
GAUGAACGCUGGCGGCGUGCCUAAUACAUGCAAGUCGAGCGAACAGACGAGGAGCUUGCUCCUCUGACGUUAGCGGCGGACGGGUGAGUCACACGUGGAUAAACUACCUAUAAGACUGGGAUAACUUCGGGAAACCGGCGCUACACCGGAUAAUAUAUUGAACCGCAUGGUUCCAUAGUGAAAGACGGUUUUGCUGUCACUUAUAGAUGGAUCCGCGCCGCAUUAGCUAGUUGGUAAGGUAACGGCUUACCAAGGCAACGAUGCGUAGCCGACCUGAGAGGGUGAUCGGCCACACUGGAACUGAGACACGGUCCAGACUCCUACGGGAGGCAGCAGUAGGGAAUCUUCCGCAAUGGGCGAAAGCCGGACGGAGCAACGCCGCGUGAGUGAUGAAGGUCUUCGGAUCGGAAAACUCUGUUAGUAGGGAAGAACAAAUGUGUAAGUAACUAUGCACGUCUUGACGGUACCUAGUCAGAAAGCCACGGCUAACUUCGUG